Molecule: ribosomal RNA, 366 nt
Filed under: uncultured eukaryote
Lineage: Eukaryota
Description: partial 18S ribosomal RNA
Rfam family: Eukaryotic small subunit ribosomal RNA
Source: RNAcentral
CAAUAGCGUAUAUUAACGUUGUUGCAGUUAAAAAGCUCGUAGUUGGAUUUCUGGAGGGAGCGUCGACCCGUAUUUACGAGUGCGUGACGUCUCUGUCCAUCCUUGCGGGAAGGCACGGCAUUGAUUUGUUGUGUCGGAUCGCAUCAUUUACUGUGAAAAAAUUAGAGUGUUCAAAGCAGGCUUUCGCUUGAAUACAUUAGCAUGGAAUAAUAAGAUAGGACUUUGGUGCUAUUUUGUUGGUUGAGCCUAAAGUAAUGAUUAAUAGGGAUAGUUGGGGGCACCUGUAUUGCGUUGUCAGAGGUGAAAUUCUUGGAUUUACGCAAGACAAACAGCUGCGAAAGCGUCUGCCAAGGAUGUCUUCAUUAA